Molecule: ribosomal RNA, 501 nt
Filed under: uncultured bacterium
Lineage: Bacteria
Description: partial 16S ribosomal RNA
Rfam family: Bacterial small subunit ribosomal RNA
Source: RNAcentral
AUUGAACGCUGGCGGCAGGCUUAACACAUGCAAGUCGAGCGGGGGAAGGUAGCUUGCUACCGGACCUAGCGGCGGACGGGUGAGUAAUGCUUAGGAAUCUGCCUAUUAGUGGGGGACAACAUCUCGAAAGGGAUGCUAAUACCGCAUACGUCCUACGGGAGAAAGCAGGGGAUCUUCGGACCUUGCGCUAAUAGAUGAGACUAAGUCGGAUUAGCUAGUUGGUGGGGUAAAGGCCUACCAAGGCGACGAUCUGUAGCGGGUCUGAGAGGAUGAUCCGCCACACUGGGACUGAGACACGGCCCAGACUUCUACGGGAGGCAGCAGUGGGGAAUAUUGGACAAUGGGGGGAACCCUGAUCCAGCCAUGCCGCGUGUGUGAAGAAGGCCUUAUGGUUGUAAAGCACUUUAAGCGAGGAGGAGGCUACUUUAGUUAAUACCUAGAGAUAGUGGACGUUACUCGCAGAAUAAGCACCGGCUAACUCUGUGCCAGCCGCCGCAGUAA